This 594-nucleotide ribosomal RNA is filed under the name Triticum aestivum (bread wheat). RNAcentral describes it as "partial small subunit ribosomal RNA". Lineage: Eukaryota; Viridiplantae; Streptophyta; Magnoliopsida; Poales; Poaceae. The record is from RNAcentral.
AUGCAAUGCACAAGAAUCAAAGAUGAAUGCAAAGAACCAAACAAAACACACGACGAAACCCGGAAACCCUGGAAGGCAACUGAAGCUCCGGUCUUGGGGCGUUACAAUGGGUUUGAGGUGUUAGAGCAUGAUAGAUUCAAGUACACUGUGAAUUUGCAAACUAGGGUUUGUUCUUGUAGAUAUUGGCAGCUUUCUGGUCUACCCUGCUGCCAUGCAAUAAGCUGCAUCUACAAGAGCUCACAAUUGUUGGAUACAUACACAGCCGAGUAUUAUUCCAUUGAGGCUUACAAGAAAAUUUACUCUCAUGUGUUGGAGCCAUUGGAAGGUCAGUCAAAUUGGCCGGUUACUGAUCAUGUGAGGCCACAAGCACCUGGUUACAUCAAAAUGCCAGGAAGGCCAAGGAAAGAAAGGAAAAGAGAAGAAGGAGAAGCACCAAAAGGGAUAAAAAUGAGCAAGGUGGGUGGCCAAAUCACUUGCAGUUCAUGCAAUAGGACAGGCCAUAACAUGAAAAGUUGCACAAAUAAUGCUGCUGCAACUAAGCAUCAUGGAAAUGCACAUAUUGUCAGAGAAAGGUCAAGGAAAAGGAAACUAUAG